ACGCACGCUGGCGGCGUGCUUAACACAUGCAGGUCGAACGGAAAGGCCCUGCUUGCAGGGUACUCGAGUGGCGAACGGGUGAGUAACACGUGGGUGAUCUGCCCUGCACUUCGGGAUAAGCCUGGGAAACUGGGUCUAAUACCGGAUAGGAGCCAUUUUUAGUGUGAUGGUUGGAAAGUUUUUUCGGUGUAGGAUGAGCUCGCGGCCUAUCAGCUUGUUGGUGGGGUAAUGGCCUACCAAGGCGGCGACGGGUAGCCGGCCUGAGAGGGUGGACGGCCACAUUGGGACUGAGAUACGGCCCAGACUCCUACGGGAGGCAGCAGUGGGGAAUAUUGCACAAUGGGCGCAAGCCUGAUGCAGCGACGCCGCGUGGGGGAUGACGGCCUUCGGGUUGUAAACUCCUUUCGCUAGGGACGAAGCUUUUUGUGACGGUACCUAGAGAAGAAGCACCGGCUAACUACGUG
This 464-nucleotide ribosomal RNA is filed under the name uncultured bacterium. RNAcentral describes it as "partial 16S ribosomal RNA". It matches the Rfam family "Bacterial small subunit ribosomal RNA", at positions 29 to 507 of the family's 1533-position model. The record is from RNAcentral.